ACACACACAGCGGCGGCGUGACGGAUGGGGUGUGUUUAGCGUGCCGAGGCGUUGCGCAGCGUCAGCGUCUGGCCGACCAGACACACUCAAUCUGAAGCUCGCUUCAGGUUCAGAUCAGACUCAAACUGACACCAACAUUUUGCCUCCAUUGGAUCAUUUCCAGCAGCAGAGGAACAGUGUGGAGAAAUCCUCCUCAUGUGUCGAACGGGAAACUUCCUGUUUGCACUGCUGCCACUAGGUGUCCCCAGUUCAUCCACAUUCUCUGACGGAGGAGCUGAUCAGAACCUGAAGAUGAGCAGCUGAUGCCCUCUCGGGCUUUGACUGUUCCACUCACAGACAGGAAGGCG
Gambusia affinis (western mosquitofish) is the source of this 347-nucleotide long non-coding RNA. RefSeq lists it as uncharacterized. Lineage: Eukaryota; Metazoa; Chordata; Actinopteri; Cyprinodontiformes; Poeciliidae. The transcript is spliced from 3 exons. The record is from RefSeq and is a predicted model, not a curated record.